Molecule: long non-coding RNA, 1024 nt
Organism: Sciurus carolinensis (gray squirrel)
Lineage: Eukaryota; Metazoa; Chordata; Mammalia; Rodentia; Sciuridae
Exons: 3
Source: RefSeq, a predicted model, not a curated record
GAUUGGCCACGCCGCACCUGCAAUGCGUCAAGCCGCGGCGGGCGUGGAGGGCUCCGCGUGAAGGGCCGUGGCCCGCGGGGCAGCCCGCGGCCUUCCGAAGGGAGCGGCCCCGCCUCGGCCGCCAUCUUUACUAGUGGCAACGCGGACGGCCCCAGACGUGCGGGGGCUGCCCUGCGCUCCUUGACCAGUAGAAAAAGGCUCUGCGACAGAAGUUUUGUUUGGGGGUUCAUGUUCCUUUCUGGGAUCCCCUGAAUUCUCUCCACGAAGUCCACGCUGAGAACCUUUCCCUCGCCAUGGCCUCAUGGCAGUUUUCUUGCUGCUGCUUUCACCUUUUCCACCUGUCCAUCCUCGCUGCAGCCACCGUGGUUCAACUCGCUGCUGCUCUUCCCCUUCCUCUUGGUUGGUCCGUGUUUUCGUCUGUUCCUGCUGCUAUAACAAGUACUGCAGACUGGGUCAUUCACGAACAGCCAAUUUAUUUCUCACAGUUCUGGUGGCUGGGAAGUGCAAGGUCAAGGCACCAGCAAAUUUGGGGUCUGAUGACGGCUCACUCUUUGCUUCCAAGGCAGCACCUUGUCACAUCCUCACGUUGUGGAAGUGGAAGGGCAAAAGGGGAAACGCCGUGUCCUCAUGUGGCAGAAGAGAUGAAAGAGCCAGGCAGCUCUCUGAAGCUUCUUUUAUAAGUGCUGGGGAUGGAAUCCAUGACAUCGCAGAUGCCAGACAAGUGCUCCACCACUGAGUCACACCCCCGGCCCUACAACAUGUCUCUGGUGACAGCACUAAAAAGUUUAUUGAUACUCUAGAAAAAGGGUAUUCAUUCAGACUCAUUACCAAUAUUUAUCCAUUCUAUGUGCCCAGGCCCCUCAGAAUGUGAGUGCCAUUUACUUUCUCUUGGGGUCAUAGAUCUUUGGAAUUUGGGGAAUCAUAGACACACUUGAGAAUCUGUGAAAACCAUCGAAACCUCCCAGAAAGACACAUACUUUUAAGUAAUUCUGCAAUUCCUGUAGUAGACUUUCUGAUUCCAUUA